CCUAGGUAGGCGCAGAAACUUUCUGACUGGCAGCAAAAGACUAGCCCCAGUUUAGCAGAGCUCCACGGGAAACGCCUGAGCAAAUGCGAAUUCGGUCAGGCUGUCCCCCAAUCCUUUCUACAACUGGAGUCCCUGAAUACUCAGCCGGCAGAGUGCCGGGACCACCCAUGCGGAUGUUUUCAGCCAUCUCUUUCCUCUUCGGGCUUUGUAUCCUACGACAGUCUCCCGCCAUGCUUCUUCACCUCGGUUCUCUAAACAUCAAAGGUCAAGAGGAGGGUUUCCAGCCCUGGAGCCCGCGAAAGGGUGGGCCCUUGCGGUUCACGCGCGGAAACAGCGAUAGGGACACCCAAGGCCCAGGAAGGCUGGGGACAAAGCAGAUCCUCCCAGACCCCAACACCACCCCGGCGUAGGCGCAGACCCCGAGGGUUCCCCGGGGCCCGGGGCUGACCGCGCGGGCGCCAGCCCGAUUGGCAGAGCGUCGCCGAGAGGUUUCCACAGGGACGCUCCCGCCCGAAUGCCUCCCUGGGAUUGGCUCAUUUCUUGGUUCAGACCUGGACGGUGGCCAGAGGAGGACAAGAGGCUUUCACAACGAACGGAGGUGAGGCGGGCGACGGAGACGCAGCCGCACUUCAACUAGCGGCCGGGCCCCGGGGACGUGGCGGCGGCCUCUCCAGCGUCAGUGCUGCUGGCGGCGGCGAGAAACCGGUGGCGUCACUGCCUGAGUCCGCUGCUGUUGCCAAGGUGACGGGACGAAAAGCAAUGGGGAGCGGUGCGUGGGGGCGGGGCAGUGGAAGGUGCGGGGAGAACGCGGCUUGGUCCCCCUUCCACAGGGCGUCCUCCUGCAGCCGGGCCUCUGUCCUCCCCCGCCCCACGCGGCACGAGCUACAGAACGCUUUGCUCGUUUCUCUUUUUCUACAGUAAGGAAGCGCUUUCUUUUCUCCCCCGUGUAUACAUUUGUUUACUUCUGGUUCCCGUGUCUUGUUAACAUGUUCCCGUCAUUCCCUGUUUAAGGGCAAAGGAUGUUCCAAGCUCAUCGUGUACUUUGCUCCUGCCUUGGAAUCAGACAUUUUCCCCAAGGUCCCUGUUCCUUUUCCUGGAAAAUGCUGUUUUACAGCCGGUAUCUCGGCUGUGUAGGUUGUUUGUUGCUACUAGGAUGCCACUGCUUCUAGACUGUCUCAGCAGACAACGCUAGGAAUUGAUACACACACGCGUGUUUAUGUAUAUGUGUGUAUGUAUGC
This 1238-nucleotide long non-coding RNA is filed under the name Callithrix jacchus (white-tufted-ear marmoset). RNAcentral's name for it is "lncRNA (ENSCJAG00000069707.1)". The record is from RNAcentral. Lineage: Eukaryota; Metazoa; Chordata; Mammalia; Primates; Cebidae.